CGUCGUGAAGAGGGAAACAACCCAGACCGCCAGCUAAGGUCCCAAAGUCAUGGUUAAGUGGGAAACGAUGUGGGAAGGCCCAGACAGCCAGGAUGUUGGCUUAGAAGCAGCCAUCAUUUAAAGAAAGCGUAAUAGCUCACUGGUCGAGUCGGCCUGCGCGGAAGAUGUAACGGGGCUAAACCAUGCACCGAAGCUGCGGCAGCGACGCUUAUGCGUUGUUGGGUAGGGGAGCGUUCUGUAAGCCUGUGAAGGUGUGCUGUGAGGUAUGCUGGAGGUAUCAGAAGUGCGAAUGCUGACAUAAGUAACGAUAAAGCGGGUGAAAAGCCCGCUCGCCGGAAGACCAAGGGUUCCUGUCCAACGUUAAUCGGGGCAGGGUGAGUCGACCCCUAAGGCGAGGCCGAAAGGCGUAGUCGAUGGGAAACAGGUUAAUAUUCCUGUACUUGGUGUUACUGCGAAGGGGGGACGGAGAAGGCUAUGUUGGCCGGGCGACGGUUGUCCCGGUUUAAGCGUGUAGGCUGGUUUUCCAGGCAAAUCCGGAAAAUCAAGGCCGAGGCGUGAUGACGAGGCACUACGGUGCUGAAGCAACAAAUGCCCUGCUUCCAGGAAAAGCCUCUAAGCAUCAGGUAACAUCAAAUCGUACCCCAAACCGACACAGGUGGUCAGGUAGAGAAUACCAAGGCGCUUGAGAGAACUCGGGUGAAGGAACUAGGCAAAAUGGUGCCGUAACUUCGGGAGAAGGCACGCUGAUACGUAGGUGAAGCGACUUGCUCGUGGAGCUGAAAUCAGUCGAAGAUACCAGCUGGCUGCAACUGUUUAUUAAAAACACAGCACUGUGCAAACACGAAAGUGGACGUAUACGGUGUGACGCCUGCCCGGUGCCGGAAGGUUAAUUGAUGGGGUUAGCGCAAGCGAAGCUCUUGAUCGAAGCCCCGGUAAACGGCGGCCGUAACUAUAACGGUCCUAAGGUAGCGAAAUUCCUUGUCGGGUAAGUUCCGACCUGCACGAAUGGCGUAAUGAUGGCCAGGCUGUCUCCACCCGAGACUCAGUGAAAUUGAACUCGCUGUGAAGAUGCAGUGUACCCGCGGCAAGACGGAAAGACCCCGUGAACCUUUACUAUAGCUUGACACUGAACAUUGAGCCUUGAUGUGUAGGAUAGGUGGGAGGCUUUGAAGUGUGGACGCCAGUCUGCAUGGAGCCGACCUUGAAAUACCACCCUUUAAUGUUUGAUGUUCUAACGUGGACCCGUGAUCCGGGUUGCGGACAGUGUCUGGUGGGUAGUUUGACUGGGGCGGUCUCCUCCUAAAGAGUAACGGAGGAGCACGAAGGUUGGCUAAUCCUGGUCGGACAUCAGGAGGUUAGUGCAAUGGCAUAAGCCAGCUUGACUGCGAGCGUGACGGCGCGAGCAGGUGCGAAAGCAGGUCAUAGUGAUCCGGUGGUUCUGAAUGGAAGGGCCAUCGCUCAACGGAUAAAAGGUACUCCGGGGAUAACAGGCUGAUACCGCCCAAGAGUUCAUAUCGACGGCGGUGUUUGGCACCUCGAUGUCGGCUCAUCACAUCCUGGGGCUGAAGUAGGUCCCAAGGGUAUGGCUGUUCGCCAUUUAAAGUGGUACGCGAGCUGGGUUUAGAACGUCGUGAGACAGUUCGGUCCCUAUCUGCCGUGGGCGCUGGAGAACUGAGGGGGGCUGCUCCUAGUACGAGAGGACCGGAGUGGACGCAUCACUGGUGUUCGGGUUGUCAUGCCAAUGGCACUGCCCGGUAGCUAAAUGCGGAAGAGAUAAGUGCUGAAAGCAUCUAAGCACGAAACUUGCCCCGAGAUGAGUUCUCCCUGACCCUUUAAGGGUCCUGAAGGAACGUUGAAGACGACGACGUUGAUAGGCCGGGUGUGUAAGCGCAGCGAUGCGUUGAGCUAACCGGUACUAAUGAACCGUGAGGCUUAACCUUACAACGCCGAAG
RNAcentral lists this ribosomal RNA (1952 nucleotides) under Shigella flexneri. RNAcentral describes it as "partial 23S ribosomal RNA". It matches the Rfam family "Bacterial large subunit ribosomal RNA", at positions 1006 to 2925 of the family's 2925-position model. The record is from RNAcentral. Lineage: Bacteria; Pseudomonadati; Pseudomonadota; Gammaproteobacteria; Enterobacterales; Enterobacteriaceae.